UGGGGAAUAUUGCACAAUGGAGGGAACUCUGAUGCAGCGACGCCGCGUGAACGAAGAAGGCUUUCGAGUCGUAAAGUUCUUUUAUAUGGGAAGAUAAUGACGGUACCAUAAGAAAAAGCCCCGGCUAACUACGUGCCAGCAGCCGCGGUAAUACGUAGGGGGCUAGCGUUGUCCGGAAUCACUGGGCGUAAAGGGUUCGCAGGCGGAAAUGCAAGUCAGGUGUAAAAGGCAGUAGCUUAACUACUGUAAGCAUUUGAAACUGCAUAUCUUGAGAAGAGUAGAGGUAAGUGGAAUUUUUAGUGUAACGGUGAAAUGCGUAGAUAUUAAAAAGAAUACCGGUGGCGAAGGCGACUUACUGGGCUCAUUCUGACGCUGAGGAACGAAAGCGUGGGGAGCAAACAGG
RNAcentral lists this ribosomal RNA (403 nucleotides) under Verrucomicrobiota bacterium. RNAcentral's name for it is "Verrucomicrobia bacterium partial 16S ribosomal RNA". It matches the Rfam family "Bacterial small subunit ribosomal RNA", at positions 355 to 776 of the family's 1533-position model. Lineage: Bacteria; Pseudomonadati; Verrucomicrobiota. The record is from RNAcentral.